AUUGAACGCUGGCGGCAGGCCUAACACAUGCAAGUCGAGCGGAUGAAGGGAGCUUGCUCCUGGAUUCAGCGGCGGACGGGUGAGUAAUGACUAGGAAUCUGCCUGUUAGUGGGGGAUAACGUCCGGAAACGGGCGCUAAUACCGCAUACGUCCUGAGGGAGAAAGUGGGGGAUCUUCGGACCUCACGCUAUCAGAUGAGCCUAGGUCGGAUUAGCUAGUUGGUGGGGUAAAGGCCUACCAAGGCGACGAUCCGUAACUGGUCUGAGAGGAUGAUCAGUCACACUGGAACUGAGACACGGUCCAGACUCCUACGGGAGGCAGCAGUGGGGAAUAUUGGACAAAGGGCGAAAGCCUGAUCCAGCCAUGCCGCGUGUGUGAAGAAGGUCUUCGGAUUGUAAAGCACUUUAAGUUGGGAGGAAGGGCAGUAAGUUAAUACCUUGCUGUUUUGACGUUACCAACAGAAUAAGCACCGGCUAACUUCGUG
Molecule: ribosomal RNA, 484 nt
Filed under: uncultured bacterium
Lineage: Bacteria
Description: partial 16S ribosomal RNA
Rfam family: Bacterial small subunit ribosomal RNA
Source: RNAcentral